UAGGCCUGAUAACAAGUUCCUGUUGAUCCC
Molecule: non-coding RNA, 30 nt
Filed under: Mus musculus (house mouse)
Lineage: Eukaryota; Metazoa; Chordata; Mammalia; Rodentia; Muridae
Source: RNAcentral